UUCUCAUAUUGUUGCAUAGUGCCAACGGGGCCGGGCCUUUUAUGUAGAAGCCCAAUAUUGAGAGAUAUUAACGCUUUCCGCUGCUAUUGCUAACCCACUUGGCCUGAAAAGUUCAGUCGGAGAAGCAAGAGUGGAAAAAUGUCGAUCAUGCGGGGGGAGCCGUUGGUGGCGAAGCUGGCUGCGGUGGCCAAGUACGUUGUUCUUCCAGGGGCUAUGUUGGCGGCUCUGAUCUAUUCUCCUCCUCGAUAUGGUUCCUCCUCCAAGGGCGGUGAAUCCCCCAAAUAAGAUCUUAGUCAUCCUUCUUUCUCUCUAUUGGGGCAGCAUUGAUGGUUGGAUCUGCAUGCUUAUAGAUUUGUGCUUGCUUUGAGGUGCACGGGCAUGUAAUAAUCCUCAACUCGGGAUCUAGCAGUUGGAUUUCAUGAGUAGAUAGUUUGUGAAUGAAAAUGCUUAUUAUUUUGACUUGAACAACUUCGAGUUGUAGAUCUUUUUUCUUGGAAAUUGCUCAUCAUAAACAUUAUCUAGUUAAUCAAUGCCGCAUGCUGCCCCAUCAAGCAUAUUGUGGAAUAAAUUCUGAAUGAUUCAUAAUACUGAUUAAA
This is a long non-coding RNA of Hevea brasiliensis (rubber tree), 596 nucleotides long. RefSeq lists it as uncharacterized. NCBI's taxonomy places the organism in Eukaryota, Viridiplantae, Streptophyta, Magnoliopsida, Malpighiales, Euphorbiaceae. The transcript is spliced from 2 exons. The record is from RefSeq and is a predicted model, not a curated record.